This is a long non-coding RNA of Oncorhynchus tshawytscha (Chinook salmon), 3274 nucleotides long. The record is from Ensembl. Lineage: Eukaryota; Metazoa; Chordata; Actinopteri; Salmoniformes; Salmonidae.
CCCCCAUUCACCUCUAUGUUGUCUUCUUUUCCUUCUCACCCUCUACCCCUUCCUUCUUUCCUCAGAGCUCCUGGAUCCCCUCUAGGUGUCAUCUGACAGUCUUUUCCUGGAGAGGGGGACUGAAGUGGAGAGGGAGGAGGGAAUAAAAAGGGAUGAAGGAGGAAAAGCAGACACUAACAGACAAGGAGUGAGGGAGACACAGUCGAAGGAAGAGAGACACACUAUCGCAGCUAUGCCCGAAGCCAAGAAGCCAGCAGCCAAGACAGAUAAGGCUGCAGCAGCACCUGCUGGUGAGGAAACUGUCCCAGGGGGACAGUCCGAGCUGACCGGACUAUUUGUAGAGAGGCCAGAGAGCACUACAGUAAUCAAAGGGAAGAACGUCACCUUUGUGGCUAAAGUGGACUCAUCUGACCUGCUGAGGAAGCCCAACAUGAAAUGGCUGAAAGGGAAGUGGCUGGACCUGGGCAGCAAGGCUGGCAAGCACGUGCAGUUUAAAGAGGCCUAUGACAGGAACUCCAAGGUCUACACAUAUGAGAUGAGCAUCAUCAAAGUAGUGGAAGGAGACGCAGGUGGCUACCGUUGUGAGGUCACCUCCAAAGACAAGUGUGACAGCUGUACAUUUGAAGUCACAGUGGAAGGUGAGCAGCCCGCCAACAUCCUGGAUGCCUUCAAGCGAUCGGGAGAUGCAGGAGAGGAUGCAGGUGACCUGGACUUCAGUGCCCUCCUCAAAAAAAGGGAAAAAAAGGCRAGGGACGAGCCCAAAGAGGAUGUGGAUGUGUGGGAGAUCCUGAAGGAUGCUAAGCCAUGUGACUAUGAGAAGAUUGCCUUUGACUAYGGCAUCACAGACCUCAGGGGCCUGCUCAAGAGACUGAAGAAGAUGAAGAAGGUGGAACCCAAGAAGAGUGACGCCUUCCUGAAGAAGCUAGAGCAAUGUUACUCUGUGGACAAGGGCAAGAGGACCCAGAUGCAUGUUGAGCUCCAUGACCCCAACGUUCAGGUCAAAUGGCUGAAGAACGGAGUGGAGAUCAAACCCUCUGUGUAUGAGUUGUUGGUGGGAGAGAAGGUGGAGUUUGAGUGUGAGGUGUCAGAGGAAGGAGCCAACGUCAAAUGGAUGAAAGAUGGAGUUGAGCUGACCAAGGAUGGGAAGUACAGGAUAAAGAAGGAUGGGAAGAAACACACUCUGGUCAUCAAUGAAGCAACCAUAGAGGACAUCGGAAUGUACUAUGUUUACACUAAUGGGGGAGAAUCCAAAGGAGAACUGGAAGUGGAAGCCAAGGAGCUGGAGGUUCUGCAGAGUAUAGCUGACCUGUCGGUGAAGGCGUGUGAACAGGCCAUGUUCAAGUGUGAGGUGUCUGAUGAGAAGGUGGUGGGCAAGUGGUUCAAGGACGGUGUGGAGGUCAAACCCGGCAACCGCAUCAAGAUGUCACACAUCGGAAGGAUCCACAAGCUGACGAUUGAUGACGUGAAGCCGCAGGACGAAGGAAACUACACCUUUGUCCCUGAAGGAUACGCACUCUCCCUCUCCGCUAAACUCAACUUCAUUGACCCUCCCAAAAUCCACCUGGACACCAGUAGCACGGGCAGCAAGAACACCAUUGUUGUGGUGGCUGGCAACAAGCUCCGCCUUGAUGUGGAGAUCACAGGAGAGCCUGUCCCCACUGUGUGCUGGAUGAAAGGAGACACUGUGAUAUCGGAGGCGGAGGGCAGAGUGAGGGUGGAAACUAGGACCACUCUGAGCAGCUUUGUCAUUGAGGGGGCGGAGAGGCCAGACGAAGGCCAGUACUCUAUCAUAGUGACCAACCCAGCCGGAGAGGACAGGGCUGAGCUCAAUGUCAAGAUUGUUGAUGUGCCUAACCCUCCAGAGAACGUCAGAUGUAUGGGAGUUGGCGAGGACACAGCCACCAUUACAUGGGAUCCCCCCAAAUUUGACGGGGGUGCACCCAUCAAAGGCUACUUGAUGGAGAGGAAGAAGCAGGGUUCCUCCAGGUGGACCAAGCUGAACUUUGAGGUGUUUGAGUCAACCACGUACGAGGCUAAGAAGAUGAUUGAGGGUGUUUUUUAUGAGAUGAGAGUGUUUGCUGUCAACGGGAUCGGGAUCUCCCAGCCCAGCGGCAACUCAAAGCCCUUCAUGCCCAUAGCCCCUACCAGUGAGCCCACUCGUCUGACGGUGGAGGAUGUGACAGACAGCACCUGUGCCCUGAAGUGGCGUCCUCCAGAGAGGGUUGGAGCAGGGGGCGUUGACGGGUACAUAAUCGAGUGGUGCAAAGAAGGAGAGGAUAACUGGGUGGAAGCCAAUAAGGAGCCAGUGGACAAGAACACGUACCGUGUGAAGGGGCUGCCAACAGGAGAGAAGCUCUUGUUCAGAGUGGUGGCUAUGAACAUCGCUGGACGCAGCCCCCCCUGCACCAUGAAACAGUCUGUCAUCAUCAGAGAGAUCAUGGAGUACCCAAAGAUCCGCCUGCCUCGCCAGCUAAGAACCAAGUUCAUCAGGAAAGUGGGCGAGAAGAUCAACCUGGUCAUCCCCUUCCAGGGGAAGCCUCGCCCCGUGGUCAACUGGCUGAAAGAUGGUGAGCCCCUGGAGAAUAAGUCGGUGGGCAUCCGCACCAGUGACUUUGACACCAUCCUGUUCAUCCGCUCGGCAGAAAGGGACCACUCUGGGACGUACACCCUGUCUGUCCAGAUAGACAACAUCUCUCUCUUUCUUUACUGUGUAUCCACCUCACCUCUCCUUCUCUGCCCUCUCUACCCUCCUCCUCUGUUCUCAAAAUCUGCCUCUAUAUAUCCACAUAUCAUCCCUUUUUUUUCAACCUCUAGGUGGUUCACAGUGUACGAGCACAACCGCCGGCCCAGCUGCACAGCGUCUGACCUGUCAUGGGGAACGUACCUCCUUCCGUGUUCCCUCCCUCCUCUCUUAACUCCCCCUCUCCCGUCCUCUCCUCAGGCUAAGAUAGUGUGGAUGAAGAACAAGAUGAUCAUUGGGGAGGAUCCUAAAUUCUUGAUGCAGAACAACCAGGGGGUGUUGACCCUGAACAUCAGGAAGCCCGGCCAGUUUGACGGGGGCAAGUACUCCUGUAAGGCCAUCAACGACCUGGGGGAGGACGAGGUGGAGUGCAGGCUGGAAGUCCGAGGUACUGGCACACACACACACAGUGUCACGCAUUCACACAUAGACAUGCACAAACACACACACACACACACACACACACACACACACUACAACUCCUAUCAUACUCAGCAUGAGACAGACUUUUAUUGGCAGUCAAUAGUUGUCUAA